Molecule: ribosomal RNA, 476 nt
Filed under: uncultured organism
Description: partial 16S ribosomal RNA
Rfam family: Bacterial small subunit ribosomal RNA
Source: RNAcentral
UACACUCCUGCGGGAGGCAGCAGUGGGGAAUAUUGCACAAUGGGCGCAAGCCUGAUGCAGCCAUGCCGCGUGUGUGAAGAAGGCCUUCGGGUUGUAAAGCACUUUCAGCGGGGAGGAAGGCGAUACGGUUAAUAACCGUGUUGAUUGACGUUACCCGCAGAAGAAGCACCGGCUAACUCCGUGCCAGCAGCCGCGGUAAUACGGAGGGUGCAAGCGUUAAUCGGAAUUACUGGGCGUAAAGCGCACGCAGGCGGUCUGUCAAGUCGGAUGUGAAAUCCCCGGGCUCAACCUGGGAACUGCAUUCGAAACUGGCAGGCUUGAGUCUUGUAGAGGGGGGUAGAAUUCCAGGUGUAGCGGUGAAAUGCGUAGAGAUCUGGAGGAAUACCGGUGGCGAAGGCGGCCCCCUGGACAAAGACUGACGCUCAGGUGCGAAAGCGUGGGGAGCAAACAGGAUUAGAAACCCGUGUAGUCCCAUG